This 1931-nucleotide ribosomal RNA is filed under the name human oral metagenome. Its description in RNAcentral is "bacterial LSU rRNA". It matches the Rfam family "Bacterial large subunit ribosomal RNA", at positions 446 to 2303 of the family's 2925-position model. The record is from RNAcentral.
GGCUGGACCACCAGCCAAGGCUAAAUAUAAUAUACGAUCGAUAGUGAACUAGUACAGCGAUGGAAAGGUGAAAAGAACCCCGGGAGGGGAGUGAAAUAGAUCCUGAAAUUUAGCGCCUACAAGGAGUCGGAGCCGGCUUGUCCGGUGACGGCGUGCUUUUUGUAGAACGAUCCAGCGAGUUAAUUUUUACAGCGAGGUUAAGUCAAUUGACGGAGCCACAGUGAAAGCGAGCCUGAAUAGGGCGAUUAAGUUGUAAGGAUUAGACCCGAAACCGGGUGACCUAACCAUGAGCAGGUUGAAGCCACUGUAACAGGUGGUGGAGGACCGAACCAGGAUACGCAGCAAAGUGUUUGGAUGACUUGUGGUUAGCGGUGAAAUGCCAAUCGAACUCGGAGAUAGCUGGUUCUCCUCGAAAUAGCUUUAGGGCUAGCGUCGUGUUAGUAGCACAUGGGGGUAGAGCUCUGUAAAGGACUGGGGCGGGCAACUGUACCCACCCUUAACAAACUACGAAUACCAUGUGUGUAAUCACGGCAGUUAGAACAUCGGUGCUAAGAUCGGUGCUCAAAAGGGAAACAGCCCAGACCAUCAUCUAAGGUCCCUAAAUUAACGUUCAGUGGGAAACAAGGUGAGAUUUCUUAAACAGCUAGGAUGUUGGCUUAGAAGCAGCCAUUCAUUUAAAGAGUGCGUAACAGCUCACUAGUCAAGAGAUCUUGCGUGGAAAAUGUAACGGGGCUAAAACGUUAUACCGAAGAUAUGGAUGUCAGAUUUAUCUGGCGUGGUAGAGGAGCGUUCCUAUCAGCAGUGAAGUCGAAUCGGAAGGUUCGGUGGAGCGGUAGGAAGUGAGAAUGCUGGAAUGAGUAACCAUAAGAGAGGUGAGAAUCCUCUCGGCCGUAAGAGCAAGGUUUCCUGAGCCAUGGUAAUCAUCUCAGGGUUAGUCGGGCCUAAGCCGAGGCGCAGAGCGUAGGCGAUGGACAUCAGGUUAAUAUUCCUGAACCGGUUAAGUUUUGUACACUGUUCACGGGGAAGUAAUCGAAGCGGAUUCAUGGUUUAUCCGUCCAACCGAGCGGGAACGCAAAGGGAGUGAAAGUGAUUCUUCGGAGUCGCGAUUUUGGUGAAAGCCCUGGCUAGAAAAGCAGGUGUACGCGUGGACUUAGCCGCCCGUACCGCAAACCAACACAGGUGCUCGAGUCGAGUAGACUCAGGCUUACGAGCGAACCUUCGCUAAGGAACUCGGCAAUACAGCGACCGUAACUUCGGGAUAAGGUCUGCCCCCACUUCGGUGGAUAUCAGCCGCGUUCACUCAGUGAAUAUUAGGUUAAAGAGUACAUUUUUAAUCACAAAACGAAUUUUCUGAGAUAGAGCAAACGAAUUGUUCUUUUGAACGCGAACCUCUGACGUCUAACGAUGUGGGGGCCGCAGCAAAAGAGCCCACGGAACUGUUUAUCAAAAACACAGGUCUCUGCUAACACGAAAGUGGAUGUAUAGGGGCUGACUCCUGCCCAAUGCUGGAAGGUUAAGGGGAGCGCUUCACGGUGCGAACUGAAGCCCUAGUCAAUGGCGGCGGUAACUAUAACCGUCCUAAGGUAGCGAAAUUCCUUGUCAGGUAAGUUCUGACCCGCACGAAUGGAGUAAUCAUGUGGGCACUGUCUCAGCGAAGGACUCGGUGAAAGUGCAUUGGCGGUAAAGAUGCCGUCUGUCCGUACCAGGACGAAAAGACCCCAUGGAGCUUUACUACAGCUUUACAUUGAAUAUGGUUUCAACAUGUGUAGCAUAGGUGGGAGACUUUGAAGCAGAUACGCCAGUAUUUGUGGAGUCAUCAAGUGAAAUACCACCCUUGUUGUGAUUGUGUUCUCACGCUGACCGUUAUCCGGUUAGCGGACCGUGUAUGGUGGGUAGUUUAACUGGGGCGGUUGCCUCCUAAAGAGUAGCGG